GCGCAUGGGCCAUCGUGUGGCAAUGGGAAAGAGUGUCAGCUGAUGAGAUAUUUCAUGUCACUCAUCGCCAAGGCUUUGAAUAUUCCAACAGCACCCUGCCCCCUCUCCGGGCCCUUUGCUGCUUGAUCACCUGCACCAGAUAGACGUCUGUUUUACUACAAAUGAGCAUUCGAAUUGCUUGCUCAUCCAACCUGUCCCCACAGGCAAUUUAACCGUAAGCUUGUCACUUGCCCGAAAUUUGGAGAGGAUUCGUCAGUUUUGAUUAAAAUACUAGGAUACCUUACUAUAAGGGGAAAGAGUCUCCAGGGUUCCCUCAUACAUUACAAGAAUCAUGAACAUUCAUUCACUUCUUUAGAGAUCAAGCCAACGAUAUGCCACAGUCCUGCGGAAUUCACUGUAAUUCUUUUCAGUGUUCCAACUGUUCUCUGAGGCCUGACUAAUAUUCGUCUCCUUUGGCACUCCCAACUCGAUGAGCUGCACUCUACAUGAAACCAAAAUUGCAAUGCCUUCUAUGAGAAACAAGACAAAAGUGUGCCAAGUCUUCAGCAGAGAGUUGCUCCAGGCCGAUGAUGCCAGAUAGCAUUUCAUACCAAGGAACACCUUCAGCAGCAAAUGGACAGAUUCUUUCAUACCUGAUAAGAGUUUGGUUUGACCAUCAGCAUCAGUAAAGCAAAUGUAUUGGUCCAGGAUGUUGCCAUACUGCCAUCAAUCAGCAUUGAUGAUGUGAAGCUGAAGGUUGUUGAUAGCUUCAUAUAUCUAGGCUGCACAAUCAUCAGUAACAUGUCACUUGGUUCUGAAAUCAGGCACAUUGCAAAUGCUGCAGCUGUAAUGUAUAAGCUUCUCUACCACAGUCGCCAAGACAGAUUAUCUGAUCGUUUCCUUGGUGGUACUAUUAAGAAUGCCAUAUUUACCUUAAAGUCAAAACGGGAAAAGGGACUCCAUGGCACGACAGACCUUGGAGUUUCCACGCAUACACAGACUGGGAGCGGGCUGCACAAGCGCAUUUCAGCAUUUUAAGUUCUUCAGGCUGAGGACAGGUCCAGCAUGCGCAAAAAGUGAAAACCUGGAUCAUGUGACCAUUGGAAUAAAGUGCCCCAGGCAGGGUACAAGGAAAGGUCCCAAAAGGGAAAGGGGUCAAGAAGAGGUCCCAAAAGAGGUCCCAGAUGGACAGGAAGAAGCCAUGUUAAAGUAAAAAGCAGUGAAAGAGGCCCCAAGCAGGAAAAGAGCUGUGGUUAGAUUUUAAGGGAGGUAACUCAGGGGAUGCCCUAGCAAUCAAAGAGGGCAACAGAAGGUUGGUGAUUCUGUGCUGCAGGCCAUUGGGUGAUGGUACCCCUUCAGAGCAGUAAUGUUCUGCCUGGCAAUGCCAAAGAGCUGAAGUUAUGCUUGUGAGUUGGUGCCCCGGGUGCAAAUUUGGGAAUCCAGGGGCAUAGAAUCUCAGGAGAGAAGAUUGAACCCCUGCUAGUGGGCCAUUGUUGAGGCUGUCCGAGUUGGAGCAACUUUUGGAGAGAAUUCCAAGGCGAGAUCUUUGAGGCAAAGACUAGAAUUCCUCUUGAGAGAGUUUCAGCAAGAUUGGUUGACUCACAGUGUUACUGACGUCUGGGUGGGUUGUUGAAAAAUCCAUGGACCCUGACUUGGUUACAUCUGCCAUUUAUUGUGCAAUGUGUGUUUGAUCACAGCUUGCCUUUAAUUCACAUGUACCUCAUACACUGUCACAUUCAGGGUAAGAUUGAUAUUGUAAGUUGUUUUAUCUUCCAUCUUCCAUGGAAUCUUGAGGCUUUAUUCACCUGAACAAUUGUCUACAAUCUCAAGCUUGUUUACUUUAAGUAAAAUUUUAUUGGUCCCUAAUCAGUUCUUAAAAAUUUGGGGAUCUGGUCCAGGAUCAUCAAAAUAGUUAGACCUUGCUAUGUGUAAGCGACUAGCAUGUUUAUCUACCUAAGUACAGUGAUUCAGAAACAACACAUUGGUUGAAAAACUCAUUAGAUAUCCUGAGUAUUAGAUAUCCUAUCCUGAGUAUGUGAUAAAGCAUUAUGUAAGUUAUUACAGUCUAAUUAUAUUCCUCCCUCUGAUUUGCGGAUACAGAUACCUUGCUUGUCCUGCUUUCUACCCUUAAUUAGCACAUUCCUUUAGAUAAUAUCACCACCUUCAACACCUCUUUGUCCUUUGUGACAUCUUUUGGUUGUCUGCACCUAUCACUGGCCCUCUAUCCAGCUCUCUUGUCCCAACCCCUCCCUUAAACCAGCUUAUAUUUCACCCCUUUUCUAUUUUUCCUUAGUCCUGUUGAAGAGUCAUGCAGACUCGAAACGUUAACUCUGCUCCCUUCCACAGAUGCUGCCAGACCUGCUGAGUUUUCCAGUAUUUUUGAAAUAGUAAAAGGUUGUCUUACCAUUAUGCAAUACAUUUCAGUUGAUGCAAGGGCAUUCUGCUUCUCUGCCCUCUGUUUCCCAUGCCCUUGACCUGCAGCCUGUACUUAAAAUUGCUAAUUUUACUAAUCCUCUUUUCUCCUUGCCCAGACCUCAUGUCAAAUCCAUAUACAACUGAAUAAGCACCAGCAGUGGUGAUGUAUGCUGCUCCUCGUGUAUCAAAGUGGUGGAUGACACUAAUUGUUCAUUGUAGAAUUGCAGUUAGAGGAAGAAAAUAAAAACAAAAUGCUGGAAAAACUCAGCAGGUCUGGCAGCAUCUGUGGAGAGAGAAAUAGAGUUAAUGUUUCGAGUCCAUGUGACUUCAGAACU
Long non-coding RNA from Carcharodon carcharias (great white shark), 2729 nucleotides. RefSeq lists it as uncharacterized. Lineage: Eukaryota; Metazoa; Chordata; Chondrichthyes; Lamniformes; Lamnidae. The transcript is spliced from 3 exons. The record is from RefSeq and is a predicted model, not a curated record.